AGAGUUUGAUCCUGGCUCAGAAUCAACGCUGGCGGCAGGCCUCAAACAUGCAAGUCGAGCGCCCAGCAAUGGGAGCGGCGGACGGGUGCGUAACACGUGGGAACGUACCCUUUGGUUCGGAACAACGCAGGGAAACUUGCGCUAAUACUGGAUACGCCCGAAAGGGGAAAGAUUUAUCGCCAAAGGAUCGGCCCGCGUUC
This 200-nucleotide ribosomal RNA is filed under the name uncultured bacterium. RNAcentral describes it as "partial 16S ribosomal RNA". It matches the Rfam family "Bacterial small subunit ribosomal RNA", at positions 8 to 238 of the family's 1533-position model. The record is from RNAcentral.